CAGCCAUGUAGCGUUGAAACACCUGUUCCCGUAUGAUCACCGAAGUUAAGCAACGUUGAUCCUGAUUAGUACGUAGAUGGGUGACCGCUUGGGAAUGCCAGGUAUUGUAA
Non-coding RNA from Acanthosepion pharaonis, 110 nucleotides. The record is from the annotation of a GenBank genome assembly. Lineage: Eukaryota; Metazoa; Mollusca; Cephalopoda; Sepiida; Sepiidae.